Molecule: long non-coding RNA, 450 nt
Filed under: Setaria viridis
Lineage: Eukaryota; Viridiplantae; Streptophyta; Magnoliopsida; Poales; Poaceae
Description: long non-coding RNA (SVIR_LNC002273)
Source: RNAcentral
GAGGGGUGAGGAGCAGGCCAGCGACUGGACUCUUGCUUUUGAGUGGAAAAAGUCCAAAUUAUAAACUUUUUUUUUCAGUUUACCCUAAAUAAACUAUGCAAUUUGUCCUUUUUAUUUCUCUAUAUACAAGUUGAAUUUUAAUUUGAGACUUUGCAGCGUGGUAGUGGAUAUCAUAAUCUAUAUUAAAAAUAUUUUGUGAAAUUUUUAUAUAAUUUUGUAUCUCAAGGAUAAAUUUGUUAUUAAAUGUCAUAUCCUAUCAAAAUAAUAAUAAAAAAUUAUGAUAUAUUUUCUAACAUGUCUUAUGAUGUUUGCUAUCAUCUUGGAAAAUUUUAAGAGUAAAUUGACCCAAAUGGCAUAAUUUAGGGGGUAAAAUGAACUACAAAAUACUUUAGGGGAGUAAUUUGUACUUUUUCCUCUUGUAUCCUUAUUCUCCCUAUUAUCAUAUAUCGG